CAGCAGCCGCGGUAACACGGAGGGUGCAAGCGUUAAUCGGAAUUACUGGGCGUAAAGCGCACGCAGGCGGUUUGUUAAGUCAGAUGUGAAAUCCCCGAGCUUAACUUGGGAACUGCAUUUGAAACUGGCAGGCUAGAGUCUUGUAGAGGGGGGUAGAAUUCCAGGUGUAGCGGCGAAAUGCGUAGAGAUCUGGAGGAAUACCGGUGGCGAAGGCGGCCCCCUGGACAAAGACUGACGCUCAGGUGCGAAAGCGUGGGGAGCAAACAGGAUUAGAUACCCCUGUAGUCCCUGUCUCUUAUAC
Molecule: ribosomal RNA, 301 nt
Filed under: uncultured bacterium
Lineage: Bacteria
Description: partial 16S ribosomal RNA
Rfam family: Bacterial small subunit ribosomal RNA
Source: RNAcentral